GAGAGCUGGCUGUGGAAUUUUUAACCAGAUUGUUUAAUGGAAUCUUGGAAAGCGAGAGGAUGCCUGAGGAGUGGAGAAGAAGUGUACUGGUGCUGAUAUUUAAGAAUAAGGGGGAUGUGCAGGACUGCAGUAACUACAAGGAGAUAAAAUUGAUGAGCCACAGCAUGAAGUUAUGGGAAAGUGUAGUGGAAGCUCAGUUAAGAAGUGAGGUGAUGAUUAGUGAGCAGCAGUGUGGUUUCAUGCCAAGAAAGAGCAUCACAGAUGAAAUGUUUGCUCUGAGGAUGUUGAUGGAGAAGUAGAGAGAAGGCCAGAAGGAGUUGCAUUGUGUCUUUGUGGACCUGAAGAAAGCAUAUGACAGGGUAAGGACAGAGGAGCUGUGGUAUUGUAUGAGGAAGUCGGGAGUGGCAGAGAAGUAUGUAAGAGUUGUACAGGAUAUGUACAAGGGAAGUGUGACAGUGGUGAGGUCUGCGGUAGGAGUGACGGAGGUGGGAUUACAUCAGGGAUCGGCUCUGAGCCCUUUCUUAUUUGCAAUGGUGAUGGACAGGUUGACAGAUGAUAUUAGACAGGAGUCCCCGUGGACUGUGAUGUUUGCUGAUGACAUUGUGAUCUGUAGUGAGAGUAGGGAGCAGGUUGAGGAGACCCUGGAGAGGUGGAGAUCUGCUCUAGAGAGGAGAGGAAUGAAGGUCAGUAGGACCACCAAGACAGAAUACAUGUGUGUGAAUGAGAGGGAGGUCAGUGGAAUGGUGAGGAUGCAGGGAGUAGAGUUGGUGAAGGUGGAGAAGUUUAAAUACUUGGGAUCAACAGUACAGAGUAAUGGGGAUUGUGGAAGAGAAGUGAAGAAGAGAGUGCAAGCAGGGUGGAAUGGGUGGAGAAGAAUGUCAGGAGUGAUUUGUGACAGAUGGGUAUUAGCAAGAGUGAAAGGGAAGGUCUGCAGGAUGGUAUUGAGACCAGCUAUGUUAUAUGGGUUGGAGACGGUGGUAUGGGAGACAAAGCUGGAGGUGGCAGGGUUAAUGAUGUUAUGAUUUG
Long non-coding RNA from Erpetoichthys calabaricus (reedfish), 1026 nucleotides. RefSeq lists it as uncharacterized. The transcript is spliced from 3 exons. Lineage: Eukaryota; Metazoa; Chordata; Cladistia; Polypteriformes; Polypteridae. The record is from RefSeq and is a predicted model, not a curated record.